This 430-nucleotide ribosomal RNA is filed under the name Pseudomonadota bacterium. Its description in RNAcentral is "Proteobacteria bacterium partial 16S ribosomal RNA". It matches the Rfam family "Bacterial small subunit ribosomal RNA", at positions 355 to 776 of the family's 1533-position model. The record is from RNAcentral. Lineage: Bacteria; Pseudomonadati; Pseudomonadota.
UGGGGAAUAUUGGACAAUGGGGGGAACCCUGAUCCAGCCAUGCCGCGUGUGUGAAGAAGGCCUUAUGGUUGUAAAGCACUUUAAGCGAGGAGGAGGCUCUUUUGGUUAAUACCCAAGAUGAGUGGACGUUACUCGCAGAAUAAGCACCGGCUAACUCUGUGCCAGCAGCCGCGGUAAUACAGAGGGUGCGAGCGUUAAUCGGAUUUACUGGGCGUAAAGCGUGCGUAGGCGGCUUUUUAAGUCGGAUGUGAAAUCCCCGAGCUUAACUUGGGAAUUGCAUUCGAUACUGGGAAGCUAGAGUAUGGGAGAGGAUGGUAGAAUUCCAGGUGUAGCGGUGAAAUGCGUAGAGAUCUGGAGGAAUACCGAUGGCGAAGGCAGCCAUCUGGCCUAACACUGACGCUGAGGUACGAAAGCAUGGGGAGCAAACAGG